Molecule: long non-coding RNA, 3213 nt
Filed under: Sus scrofa (pig)
Lineage: Eukaryota; Metazoa; Chordata; Mammalia; Artiodactyla; Suidae
Description: lncRNA (ENSSSCG00005009645.1)
Source: RNAcentral
CAGAAAUCCUCGCCAAGCAAUCUCUGACCAUCUCAAGACCAGUGGAAGAAACCCUGGGCUCCAGAGGAACUCGAGAGGAGAGCUACUGACCGGUGCCUCUCCAAGGAAAAGGCCUUGCACAGCCUCUGCUUCCCCACCAAGGAAAAGCCCUCAAGAGCCUGCACAGCAAGACUGCAGCCAGGACCGUGACGUCAGUGCCACCCAGAAACUGCUUGUCCUUCCAGAUCCUUCCAUGGGGAACAGAGGCUUUUAUUCCUCCAAUAGAGAUGCUGCUGAUGUGUGAACCAGAGCUUUGCAGCCUCUGUGUCCACCGGAUCAAGAGGUGUAUGAACAGACGGAUCCACGCAGGCCUCGGGCACGUGGACGGGGCUCAGAGCCACACUCCCCACCCUGACCAACCAGCCCCCUCUAGCCUUGGGUGGUGGUCCCAGCGACAGUACAAACGUCACCGUUCCCUGUGACGGACAGGAAGUGAAGAUAGUCAGAGGGCAGCAGAUCGUCCUGGUGAGCAGAUUUUCAACAGCGUGAGUUCUGCCAGAGGCACCCCACCCCCUCAGCUUUUUAGCCAGCCCCCGUCACUACCUGCAGGAGGUGGGGCCAGGGCUUUGGUGGAGAAAGAUUUGCAUAAAUCCAGCCAUCCCAGAAUCCUCCCUGGUCAAUUUUUUUUUUCCCCAUUCUUAUCCAAGAAGAGUCCAAGACUUUUAUCCAAGAGAAGAGUCUGCCUCAGCCAGCCUCAUGUCCUUCCUCUUCUCUGGCCCUGUGCUCGGAAUUCGGGAGCAGAUGUGGCAGCCUGUGACUGUGCCCUUUAGCCCUGGUGGCGGGGGACACCUCCCGUUACCAUUCUGCAGGAAGACUCCAGAACUGACAACCAGGCUUACCUCUGGCGGGUCCAUCAACCAAGUCCUCCUCCCCCCACACUGAAGGGAUUAUUUUAAAAAUGAGAAUGUGAUAGAUUUUCUAAGCCAGAGCUAUAUUGCUUUCCCCCAAAGCAGUUUUCAAACAUUUCAAAAAUGUUAGCUAGUGAGUCCAAAAGCUCCUUUUAUUCUUUCUGUUUUCUCCCACUCUGAAAAUACACACACGUAGAUCUGUGUACACAGCACACUUGAAGGCAUAUUUUCCAGGAUGUAACUAACAAAGGGAAGAAUGUGGUGGUGGUUGGAAUUCUGGCGCUUGCAAGACAUGGGUCUGUGCUCUGCAUUUCAGUACAGAGGUGAUCACACUGUUAUGGGCAGAGCAUCUGCUCCCUUCACCUGCAGCCUCCACCCUCCUCUUCCUCUGCUCCCUGACCUGACCCGAGAGGCGUUUGAACUAACACGAUCAAGGUGUCGGGACCAGUAUCCCACCCUCCCGCCACCGUGCUUGGCAAGUUCCCAGGGCCUGCAAGUCACACACGGGCCAAGUCGUGGCCUCUUUCCAACAAAAUGGGUACAUGUCCAUGUCAGGCCCAUCUUGCUGCCCUUCGUUAUAACUGUGGUCAAGGAGAAAGGAGUAAGUAGGCUUGGGUACUACAAGGCAAAGCAAUAUUCGAUAAUAUUCGAAUAUUGCUAGCAACAAUAUUCGAAAGUUUAACAUAUGCUUAUUUUCUAAAAUGUAAGACCUCCAUGGUGAUUGGGGGACUUGGGUGCCCGUCUUCAAUUCUUGUGCCGCAAAGGCCGGGAGGAAACCAUCCCUUUCCCAGGUGCUCUGACCUUGGCCUUGGGAUGCGUGGGCCCACUCCCCAUGUACAGAGGCGGCAUCCUUUGCACAUGGCAGGGCUGUGCGGAGAAACGGGCCCCUGGUGCCUGGGACAUUCCUUCACAGAGGCUCUCCUAGCAACAUGGCGACGCCAGCCAACCCAACAAUGACCUUUUGUCUCUAGCUCUCCUCAGCUCUGUGGCCAUUAGUCUCACCAGAAAACUCAAAGGAUAUUUUGCAAGAGAAGAGUGGUUGCGAGCUAAAGCUCUGAAUCAGUUGCUUUCCUCUGCUUUCUGCAAAUAUCAAACUGGGCUUGCGCCAGAUGAUCGCUUUAGGAGCAGGAAGUACCUAGAGAGGUGCCCUGGAUGGGGGAAAGCUGAGUCUGGAUGGCCCUCGUCCUGGCUCCGGGUAGGGAAGCCCCUCUGUACCACAUCCCUGAACUGUCUGGACCUUAGUGUCCUCAUCUUCCAAAUGAAGCACUAAUUCUCAACAGCGCAGAGUCCUUGCUAACAGUCCAGAUUCCCGAGCCAACAGUAGUUCCCCUGCUGACUCAGAAUCUCUGGGACUGAGCUCCGCCAACGUGACUUUUCACCAAAGGCCAAUAUAGACCUUGCUGAACAAUUGUAAAAACGCUUAGGUAAUUAACUUUCUAAUUUUGUUUACUUGGCACGAGAGGACCAACACACACACACUCAGGAUUGGUAUGCUACAUGCAUUGUGGGGAAUGUGUUUUUUUUUUCUGAUAGAGUUUGCAAAGGACAGAACCAGCCCAUUUUCUUUGCUGUUCCUGGUUAGUUAUCUUCUAUACAAGAAUGUAAAUCAUGCCUCUCUAUCGGCAAAUCACUUUGGACUGUGUGCUUCCAAUAGAUACACUUUAAAAAUUUUGAUAUAUCUGUAUUUACUUAUAUUUUGCUUUAGUAUGAACAUGUUACGACUGUGUUCCUAAUGUUAAAAAAAUAAAUGUUUUUAAAGGAAAAAAGUUGAAGUGGGAUGUUAAAAAUUUGGUUAGUGAAAAUUUUGGUUUAAUACUUCCUGAAAUAGUGAGAUCAGCAAUAAUUUGUGGGAGUUCCUGUAGUGGCUCAGUGGCAGCAAACCCUACUAGCAUCCAUGAGCACGUGAGUUUGAUCUCUGGCCCUGCUCAGUGGGUUAAGGAUCUGGCGUUGGCAUGAGCUGUGGUGUAGGUGGCAGACAGGGCUUGGAUCCGGCAUUGCUGUGGCUGUGGCUGGCAGCUGCAGCUCCAGUUCGAUCCCUAGCCUGGGAACUUCCAUGAUGCCAUGGGUGUGGCACUAAAAAGCCAAAAAAAAAGAGCAAAAACCAAGCAAACCCAAAACAACUUGUGAUGUUGGUUUUGAGUUCACUACAUUUUAUUGCUUAGUUGUAAUACAUAAAAAUGUGCUUCACAAAAGUAUGUGGAUUUAAGUGGGAAAAGUGCCCUGAUUUUACUGCACUUAACAAAAUCAUGAUAUUGAUUUUUGUAAGUCCCUCUGCUAAUUGUCCCAAGGUUUCUUAUGAGCUAGUAAAUUUCCGUUUUUCUGAAUG